AAAGUCGUAACAAGGUUUCCGUAGGUGAACCUGCGGAAGGAUCAUUACUGAGUUAGGGUCUUUCUGGCCCGACCUCCAACCCUUUGUUUACUAUACCAUGUUGCUUUGGCGGGCCUGCCUUUUGGGGCUGCCGGGGGCAUUACUGCCCUUGACCUGUGUCUGUCAGGAGCCUUCUUUAAAUUCUGUGUUCAACUGUGUUGUCUGAGUCCCAAUAUCAAAAUAUCAAAAACUUUCAACAACGGAUCUCUUGGUUCUG
This 256-nucleotide unclassified non-coding RNA is filed under the name Ascomycota sp. RNAcentral's name for it is "partial contains small subunit ribosomal RNA, internal transcribed spacer 1, and 5.8S ribosomal RNA". The stretch from base 1 to 47 matches the Rfam family "Eukaryotic small subunit ribosomal RNA", at positions 1785 to 1831 of the family's 1831-position model. Lineage: Eukaryota; Fungi; Ascomycota. The record is from RNAcentral.